UGAGCUUUCUCACUUCCCUUCACCCCCAGCUCUCACUAUCUUGUUCUUGUUCUUUCCUGACUGUAAAUCCGAAGAGAAUAUCGAUACUUGCAUCGAUUUCUCAACCAAUAAAUAUAGAAAUAUCUUUAUUGUCUUCACGAUGAUGUUUUGCUGACUGUCUUAUUCCAGUUGAAUUUGAGCUCUAAUGGCGUCGAGGCAAGGGUUUAGAUCGAAGAAAUCGGUUUCGAAACUACACAGAGCUGUUAAUUCUUUCCUUCUCUGCUCAGAUACCACAGUGGGCUGAAUGCGGCAUAUAAUCUCAUUGGUCGUCUGCUCGGAUUUUAUCCAAUGUUCUUCACUAAUAGAUAAUCGGGUUUGGGUUCCAUGACGACGACGGCGACGACAAAGAGGAUAGGUAAGAUCCCUCUUCGUUUAAGGCACCUUCUGGCUGUGACAACCAAGCUUGAAGAUCACCCAUGCAAUCAGAAGUUAAAGAUACAGAUUUUCCAAUGAAAAACCCAGAAAUCGUCACCGACACAAUGGCCCUGCGACGGUUUUUGUCACCGGCGGGGGAACAGAAUCGAAGCAGAAACAUUUGGGAAGUUUAAAAAAUAGCACGAUUAGAUGUAACGCUCAUCAGAGUUCAUCAGAAACAUGUACGAUAGAAACAGUAAGCGAUCGAAAACGGUUUGUAUUUCGGGAAAUUUUUUUGGUUUUUUGACGGUAAGGAAUCAAUGGAUGGAUGGAUAUAGGUUGCAGACACGAAACGGCAGAAAUGAUUUUUGAGUUGUCGAGAUUUGGGUUUGAAAUUGGGGUAAACAUGCUACUCUGAUGGUUUUGGAACGAUCUAAGGUGCCUUCAGAAUUGUUAGAAGGACUGCUGUUUUCGAAACGCUUACACAGAACGACACGAAGCUCGCUCGCGCGCGCUUUCGCUUUUUCUCUCUCUCCACUGCUGAUAAUCUACCCAUACAGCAUAUACAGUGAAAACAGGGAAUGGAGAAACAGGUAAAGAAAGGGUUUUCACUUCUGAUGAGGGUAGCUUAGGUAUUAGACAAAUAGGGGGAUAUUUUAGGGAUUGUGAAAAAAAUUAACUUGACUUAAUAGUCAACUAACGGUUGGGACAGUUAGAUAGGUUCUUUUUCUUAUAGGAGAGGGUAAUGAUAUUUUCGCAAAGAUGGUGGGUUCAAUUGAUAUUUCACCUUAGUUUAGGGGAGGGGAGUGAAGUUUACCAUUUUUUUGAAUGAAGAAAAAGGAUCCACAUUUGAUAUUUAUUUUCUAUUUAUAUGGGAUUGUUUUUAUUUUAUCUUUGAAUAGAUUGGACUUUAUUUUCA
Long non-coding RNA from Macadamia integrifolia, 1312 nucleotides. RefSeq lists it as uncharacterized. The record is from RefSeq and is a predicted model, not a curated record. NCBI's taxonomy places the organism in Eukaryota, Viridiplantae, Streptophyta, Magnoliopsida, Proteales, Proteaceae. The transcript is spliced from 2 exons.